RNAcentral lists this long non-coding RNA (675 nucleotides) under Daucus carota (carrot). Its description in RNAcentral is "long non-coding RNA (DCAR_LNC006209)". The record is from RNAcentral. Lineage: Eukaryota; Viridiplantae; Streptophyta; Magnoliopsida; Apiales; Apiaceae.
CCCCACUUAAAUUCCUGACGUCCUCGUCAGGCCUAAACAGAUAGCCCAUAGGCCCAUAUCGAACCUCUCUAGCCAUUGUGGGAUAAUACAGGCAGGCUAGCUUCGUAUCCCCGCCUCCAGAUCUCUGUCCAUUGCGGGAUAAUACCACCAGCCUUCGUGUCCCCACCUCCGGCAACUUGACGAAUCAAGCUUUCGAGAGCCUGCUCUGAAUACCAUAUGCGAUAACCUGGGUUAAAUCCCGAGUCUUUUUCGAAAAUCGGGUCAAGUCCCGAAUUCCGAAUCUGAAAAUAAGCCCAAAUAUACUGACCCAAUUGCAACAACUUGGGUAAUUCACAAGCCCACCACAUGCCCCCAAAAGAUCAUGAUUUGUUGGUGCAAUUGGUAGUAGUACUUAUGUUUAUAAACUGAACAAAUAUUCCCACUCUUCUUGAUGUGGGACUGGAGUGUUACAAACUCCCCCACUUAAAUUCCUGACGUCCUCGUCAGGCCUAAACAGAUAGCCCAUAGGCCCAUAUCGAACCUCUCUAGCCAUUGUGGGAUAAUACAGGCAGGCUAGCUUCGUAUCCCCGCCUCCAGAUCUCUGUCCAUUGCGGGAUAAUACCACCAGCCUUCGUGUCCCCACCUCCGGCAACUUGACGAAUCAAGCUUUCGAGAGCCUGCUCUGAAUACCAUAUG